This 230-nucleotide unclassified non-coding RNA is filed under the name Paraglomus sp. Its description in RNAcentral is "partial contains 5.8S ribosomal RNA and internal transcribed spacer 2". The stretch from base 1 to 65 matches the Rfam family "5.8S ribosomal RNA", at positions 84 to 154 of the family's 154-position model. Lineage: Eukaryota; Fungi; Glomeromycota; Glomeromycetes; Paraglomerales; Paraglomeraceae. The record is from RNAcentral.
GUGAAUCAUCGAAUUUUUGAACGCAAAUUGCGCCUUUUGCGAAAGGCAUGUCUGUUUGAGUGCACCAUUUAACAAAUAAUGUGCAUUUUGUGUGCACAGGUUUAUGAGCUUUCCAAAAUUAUGUAUUAUUUUUGGUGGCGCAUAAUAAACAGCGGUAUGCUUUUUUUCAGUUCUGGUGUAGUAGAUUUUUUUCUUGUUUGGGUUGUUAAAAGCGUGUACUCACAAAUGGG